CGCGGCGUCCGGGCGGUCCCGGUCAUCGGCUCAUACCCGAUCGCGUUGCGGGUUCGACUCCCGCCGUCGCGUCCA
Molecule: transfer RNA, 75 nt
Filed under: Microbacterium wangchenii
Lineage: Bacteria; Bacillati; Actinomycetota; Actinomycetes; Micrococcales; Microbacteriaceae
Also listed under: 1 other name
Description: tRNA-Met
Source: RNAcentral